Long non-coding RNA from Schistocerca cancellata (South American locust), 264 nucleotides. RefSeq lists it as uncharacterized. The transcript is spliced from 3 exons. NCBI's taxonomy places the organism in Eukaryota, Metazoa, Arthropoda, Insecta, Orthoptera, Acrididae. The record is from RefSeq and is a predicted model, not a curated record.
CUUACCUUGUGUCAAAUCAAUGGGGUGGAAUGCACCUUUACACCAAGUGAGGUUAAAGUAGACAGUGGUUUGUUAUGAUGCGUGAAGCAGAAGGAGAUAGCUUUCUACAUACCGAAGAAUGUUCCCAAAAGGUCACCGACACGGCGGAACUGCUCCGGCGGCCGCUCGAGAUAUACGUCAAGGAGGAGCGCGAGUCGGAGUGUGAAGACGAGGAGGCGGAGGCGGUGGUCGGCUGCGACCCCCUGUACGUGAAGCAGGAGCCGG